Molecule: transfer RNA, 72 nt
Organism: Candidatus Nasuia deltocephalinicola str. NAS-ALF
Lineage: Bacteria; Pseudomonadati; Pseudomonadota; Betaproteobacteria
Rfam family: tRNA
About the family: Transfer RNA (tRNA) molecules are approximately 80 nucleotides in length.
Source: Rfam
UGCGAAUUAGCUUAAAGGUUAAAGCUUUGGAAUCAUAAUCCAGAUACCAGGGUUCGACUCCCUGAUUCGCUA